This 517-nucleotide ribosomal RNA is filed under the name Anguilla japonica (Japanese eel). Its description in RNAcentral is "partial 16S rRNA". It matches the Rfam family "Bacterial large subunit ribosomal RNA", at positions 1926 to 2576 of the family's 2925-position model. The record is from RNAcentral. Lineage: Eukaryota; Metazoa; Chordata; Actinopteri; Anguilliformes; Anguillidae.
AACGGCCGCGGUAUCCUGACCGUGCGAAGGUAGCGUAAUCAUUUGUCUUUUAAAUAGAGACCUGUAUGAAUGGCAUAACGAGGGUUUAACUGUCUCCUUCCCCUAGUCAAUGAAAUUGAUCUGCCCGUGCAGAAGCGGACAUAAAUACAUAAGACGAGAAGACCCUAUGGAGCUUUAGACAAAAGAUCAAACAUGUAAAGAAACCAAGUUAACCAAAAGGAACACAAAGGCCACGAAACCCGACGUAAACUGAUCCAAAUGUCUUCGGUUGGGGCGACCAUGGGGGAGAAAAAAGCCCCCACGAGGAACAGGGACUAAUCCCUAAGCCAAGAGAGACAUCUCUAAGCAACAGAAAAUCUGACCAAAAGUGACCCAGAAUACUAAUUCUGAUCAACGAACCAAGUUACCCUAGGGAUAACAGCGCAAUCCUUUCCCAGAGUCCAUAUCGACGAAAGGGUUUACGACCUCGAUGUUGGAUCAGGACAUCCUAAUGGUGCAGCCGCUAUUAAGGGUUCGU